This 301-nucleotide ribosomal RNA is filed under the name uncultured bacterium. RNAcentral's name for it is "partial 16S ribosomal RNA". It matches the Rfam family "Bacterial small subunit ribosomal RNA", at positions 509 to 807 of the family's 1533-position model. The record is from RNAcentral.
CAGUAGCCGCGGUAAUACGGAGGGCGCGAGCGUUACCCGGAUUUACUGGGCGUAAGGGGCGUGUAGGCGGCCUGGGGCGUCCCAUGUGAAAGGCCACGGCUCAACCGUGGAGGAGCGUGGGAUACGCUCAGGCUAGAGGGUGGGAGAGGGUGGUGGAAUUCCCGGAGUAGCGGUUAAAUGCGCAGAUACCGGGAGGAACGCUGAUGGCGAAGGCAGCCACCUGGUCCACUUCUGACGCUGAGGCGCGAAAGCGUGGGGAGCAAACCGGAUUAGAUACCCGGGUAGUCCCUGUCUCUUAUAC